Molecule: long non-coding RNA, 9112 nt
Filed under: Gossypium barbadense (sea-island cotton)
Lineage: Eukaryota; Viridiplantae; Streptophyta; Magnoliopsida; Malvales; Malvaceae
Description: long non-coding RNA (GBAR_LNC015648)
Source: RNAcentral
ACCAACCAAGGUGACAUAGUUGCAGUCCUUCAUUUUGUUGGCAGUAACAACCUAUUUUUCAGUGGUGUUGGAAAUGAUAGAUUCAGGACCACGAUUUUGACCAUUAAGUCGGUAUUUUAUUUACUAUUUAUUAUUUAUAGAGCUUUUAUAAUGUCGUAUCAAAUUUUGGUUAGGUAAUUUUACAGUUUAGAUAGUUAAUUAAGACAAAAGGACUAAAUAUAAAUAGAUGAAAAGGUUAAUUUUCAUUAGCCUAAAGGAGUUAAUUCAUUAUGGGAACAUGAUUUGAGGCAUUAAAAAGGUAAUUAGACCAUCACAUAUUUGAGUGGACCAUUAUGGGCUAGUAGUUGUUAAGUUUUAUGUGUUUAAUUAAGGGUACAUAAGUAAUUAAGUAAUUAAAAACAAUAACAAAAGAAAACAAAAAAAAAGUAGCUUCUUCUUCCUUCGAUUUCUUUUGCCGAAAAUUUAGAAAGAAAUAGCCAUUGUAGAGCUUGAACAUUCGAUUAACUAGGAUGCUUGAUGUAAGUGAUUUUUGAUUUUGUUUCUAUAGUAAAAUUUAUGUUUUUGAGAUCGUUGUAGCUUAAUCUAGCUAGCCUAGGAACUAAUUCAUAAAACUGUUAAAAGUUUAAGAACUUAUUAUGAAUGAAUUAUAUGUGUUGUUGAAGUUGAUAAUAGUUUUAAAGGAUUAUUAGUUAAAUGGAACUAUCUUACAAAGAAAAUCUUAGUGAUUUUAUUGUUGAAGGAUUUAAUUGUUUAAAUGGUAAAAUCCCAUGAAAUUCUUGUGAAAUUAUGAGCAAUAUAGGUUGUGCAGGAAUCAUAAAGAAUUUGAUCAGUUUAAUUUUGUGUAUAAUUGUGUUAAAUUGAAAGUUUUGAGUUUAGGAUCUAGUUUGCAAAAAGGUAAAAAGUUAGGGUAAUUGUGUAAAAUAUUAUUCAUGAAUUAAUUACAUGUUUUGAACUGUUUGAUGUUGUUUUUAUUGGAUAAUUAAAAAUUUAAUUAUUAUAUUUAGAUCAAGAAACGGUUAGAUAGGUCGAUAAUCGUGGGAAGGGAAAAGCAGUCGAAUAAUCGUCAUCGAACACCGAUAAUUAUUGCACAAGUAAGUUUUUAUGAUAUUUAAUUUCAUUAUAAUUAAAUUCCUUAAUAUUUGUUGUACUCUAAUAGGUGUAGUGUUUAUAAUUAUUGGAUGUUGAUUUGUGGAGAUUAAUAAUGAAAUUGAGUUGUAUUGGAUAUAUAAUAUUGAACCAUGAGUCUAGCAGGCUUCGUGUCGGUGGAUUGUAACAAGCCUCGAGCCUAGCAGGCUUUGAACUGGUGUAACUGUUACAGGAAACUUGUAUGGAAGAUACUAUUUCAAGUAACCAACAAAUUUAAGAAUGUUUUAUGACCUUAUAAUUUUAUAUAUGGUGUGUCAGUUCGUGACUUGGUGAUUUUAAAAGAUGCAGAUUUUAUAGAUUAAAUUAUCUUGGUUGUUUGAGAUAGGGAAUUAUAAUCGUUGACCUCAUUAUACAUUGUUACAUCAAUGUAUUAAAAUUUACGAGUAUAACAAGUUAACUUCAAGAACUUACUAAGCUUUACUCGAUCUUACUUCGUUUCAUUUAAUUUUGUAGGUUCGUUGGAAUUUUGACGUCGAUUGGAUCAGCUCAAGAGAUCUCACCUUAUCCACUAUAUUUUUGGUAGUCAUUUUGUUCAUUUUGAGGUCAGUUUGAAGUCGCAUGUAAAUAGGGUAUCUAGAUGUAUAUGUUGUAAACUCUAGUUAAUAAACAACUUUUUCUGGAUUAGUAACUUGUAAAUGUCAUUUUGGAACUUGUUGGAUGUGGUCGGUGUUUUGCAAUGGUUAUAUGUAGUUAACACUAUGUAUCAUAAUGAGAUGGAAAUGGUUACUAUAUGUAUGAGUAAUAUGGUAUUGGUUAGUAGAAUAGAUGUAAUAAGUUGGUAUGUUUAAGCUUGCAUAGAGUAUGUGAUCAUGGCAAUUGGAUGUUUUGAAUUGACAUUUCAAUUGUGGUGCCAAUGAAGGCAUAUUGGUUAGGCACAUAGGUUGUUGUGAUUUGUCAUGAUUUUGUUGUUUUGGGAUGUUUUUGAAUAUGUUUAAAUAGGGUGAAAGUGUCUUGAAUUAAUUUGGAUUGGUGCCCAAGAAAAUAGAUUGAAAUGGCUUGUUUUAAGGGUUAUUUAGGAAGCACACGUGUCACACGGUCGUGUACCACACACGGUCACACCACACGACCAUGUGCAGCUUUAAUUUUUAAGUGCAAGUUUAACAUGGUCAGAGACACGGCCUACGACAUAGCCGUGUGUCUCAAGUUAGUUUGUUGCAAGGCUUGGCACAUGACCGUGUGACUCAACAUCGAAUAUACACACGGUUUGGCACACAGUCUAUGACAAGGCCUUGUAGCCUUUUUUCGAAUACUCGCAUGUGCAGACACACAAGCUAGAACAUGGCCGUGUGUCAAGACUUCGAAUGCUCACAUGGUCUGCGCUAAGUCACACAGCUGUGUGACCCCUAUUUGUGAAAUUUUAAAGUUUUUCCUGACUUUUCUGUUUUGUUUAGAAAUGACCCCUAAAUGUUUUUAAAAUUAUUUUUAGGGUUUCGUAAACUCGAUAUAAGGCCCGUGAGUGUGUUUUUACUACAAUUACCUUGUGUUAUUGAAUGUUGUUAGUUAAAUGGUAUAAUUGUUUCUAUUAUAAGCUAAAUGUUCUAAUUUGUACCGUAAUGCUCUAUAACUCUAAUCCACCAACGGAGACAGGUUUGGGGUGUUACAUUUGCGAACUAUUACCGACUUUUCAUCGAAGGCUACUCCAAAAUCACGUCACCUUUGAAAAAUUUAUUGAAUAAGGGUAACGUGUGAGAUUGGGAUCCUCAAUGUGAGAAAGCUUUUAAUCUAGUGAAGGAUAUGAUGACGAGGGAGCCUUUACUUGCUUUGCCAUAAUUUUCAAAGUUGUAUUAGGUAUGCACGAAUGCAUCAAAGUAUGUCGUUAGGGGUACUGAUGCAAAAUGGGCAUUCGAUUUCUUUCUAGAGUUGAAAGCGUAAUGAGAUAGAAUAGUGAUACAUGGUCCAAGAGAAAGAAAUGACUGUUGUGGUGCAUUGCUUGCACACAUGGAGACAUUAUUUACUUGGUUCCAGGUUCGUGGUCUUUACCGAUAAUGUUGCAAACAGUUAUUUUCUAACCCAGAAAGAGUUGUCUCUUAAACAUUCUCGUUGGCAAGUGUUCCUAGCAGAUUUUGAUUUUAGCAUAGAAUAUAAAUUGGAGAGUGCAACACUAUGGUUGAUGCACUUAGCCUAUAGAUGGAGUUUGCAUCAAUCAACCUGCCUGAUAGCUCUCUUUUGGAGCGUAUUUGAGAGGGAUUGUCCUAUGAUCCCACGACCAAAAACUUGACCGAGCUUGCCAAAGUAGGGAAACGAUGAGAUUAUGGCUUGAGGGAGAUUUAUUAUACACUUAAGGGCAUCACUUUUGUAUGCGUCAAUACGAGAAAAUUGCACAGAGAAGUCAUGAAGGAGUGUCAUGACUAGAGAUGGGUUGGCCAUCCAGGCAUGCACCACACUUUAGCCUUUUUGGAGGAUCAUUACUACUGGCCUCACAUAGGUGAUGAUAUGGAGACCUAUGUGAGAACUUGUCUGAUGAGCCAACAAGACAAGGUAGAGUUAAAGACUUCAGUCAAAUUGGUACAACAAUUGCCCAUUCUGGAACGUCCAUGAGAGAGUGUAUCCAUGGAUUUUAUUGUUGGUUUGUUUAAGUCUGAUGGGUUUGCAAGCAUUUUUGUUGUGGUGGAUAGGUUUUCCAAGUAUAGAAUGUUUAUUCUAGCAACCAAAGAAUGCCCUGCUAAGGAGGCAACUUAUUUUUUCCCUAGACAUGUGGUGAAAUAUUGGGGAGUGCCAUAGUUUAUCAUUAGUGAUCAAGACGGGUGAUUUACGGACCAGAUCUGGACGGAGUUGUUCAAGUUGAUAGGCUUAGACUUGAAUUUUCCACUAGCAUGCAUUUGCAAACUGAUGGGCAAACCGAACGAGUGAAUGGAUUGUUGGAGACAUACCUUCAGCCCUAUGUGAGUGCCACCCAGAAGUAUUGGCCAAAGUUGUUGGAUAUGACCCAAUUUUCUUAUAAUUUGCAACGAAGUGAGGCAACAAAUCAAAGUUCGUUUGAGAUAGUGAUGGGCCAACAACCACUCACACCCAACAUUGUUGCAAUUUGUUAUGGAAGACCAAAUCCAACAGCUUAUAGAUUUGCAAAGGAAUGACAACAGCAAAAUGACUUAGCCAGAGCUUGCCUACACAAAGGAGUGAGCGCAACAAGAAGCGAGCUGAUAAGAGUCAUAGGGAUGUGGAAUUUCAGGUUGGUGAUUCUAUCUUUGCGAAAUUACACUUGAUUUUGCACCACAAUGACUUGCACAAGGGGUUUGUGCGACAGUAUAAUGGACCUUUCCAAGUUGUGAAGAGAGUAGGCAAUGUGGCCUACAAACUUGAGUUGCCAGCAAAACUCAAGGUUCAUCCGGUAUUCCAUAUCAGUAUGCUUAAGUCAUUCCAUGAGGAUCAAGAGGAUCCAGAUCUAGGCAAGUCCGAACGAGCGCCAAUAGGGAUAAAGGUCUUAUAUGAUCAUGAAGUUGAAAGCAUCAUGGCGGACUGUGUGAUCAGACGAAAGUACUAUCAGCCGAGGCAUGAGUACUUAGUGCGAUGGAAGGGACUUCCUGGCAGUGUCGAGGCCCUAUGGUAGUUCCAAGACAAGAUAGACCAAUUUAAUUUGGAGGACGUGACGAGGGCAUCACUACAAUAGGUGGGGGAUAAUGUCAUGGGUUUGCAUGGGAGCCUGCAACCAUGGCACACUUGUGUGGUCCAUCAUGUUCAAGAGAGGUCAUUUGGCCCAAUUGGACUGCCCCAUUGCUUGGAGAGAUUGAAGGUCCAUCAAUAAAGCAUGGCAAAUAUAGAGUGUAAUCUUCAAAGAUAUGUAAUCUUAGAUAUGAUUUGUAAUCUUAGAAGAUAUGAUUCUGUAAUAUUAGUGAUUUGAUUUUGUAGAUAGCUUUUAAUCUUAGCCGUUUAUGUACUUUAAUCUAUACUGUUGAAUUUGGGGAGGCUCAACUAUAAAUAGAAGCCUCUCUCUCUUAUUGUAAAUCACUUCAGUUUUGAGCAAUAGAAUUAUUGAAAGCAUUCACUCAAACAUUCUCUCUUGUUCUUUUAUUUUUCUGUGGCUUUGUUCUUAUAUUUCAAGUUCGUUCAUCUUUGAGUUGCUUCCGAUUUGCAUUGGUGCCGUAGAAGAAUUCUAUUUGAAUCCUCAAUUGUUGAGAGUUAGGUUGACUUAGGUGUUUUUGAAGCGAAGAAUUUGCCUAAGGCCGUACAAAUUGUGAGACUAAAGUUCUAGCCCGGCGACACUAACAGUACCUUCCAUGCUAACUCUACUUCUCUUGAUUCCUGCUUCCAAUUAUACAUACAAACUUACAACAAUUGAACUUAGCUACACAAUAAUUAACAAUCAGGGAAAUAAUAUUACAUCUAGUUAAGACCAAGAAUUAAAACCUACAUUUCAAUACAUUUUCAAGACAAACAAAUAAAUUAGCAUUAAAGAAGAAGUUGAUUUAAAAGAAGAGAAAAAAAAACGUACCUAGAACUUUUGAGAGAAACAAUAGCUAAUAGGGGUGAGUAAAACUUGAUUCGACUCGAAAAAAUAAAAAAAAAAUUUGAAUUUCGAGUCAAACGAAUUGGGUUAUUCAAGUUAAUUGAGUUAUUCGAAUCAACUCGAAUUUUUUUCGAAUUUCGAGUUCGAAUCGAGUUGAGUUUUCCAAUUCGAAUAACUCGAAUAAUUCGAAUAAUUCGAAUAUCAAACUAUAAUAUUUUACAUUUUUACCCCAAACUCCCAAACCUUUUUGCUUUUCCCUCAAAACUUUUACUCUUUUCCACUUUCCCCCCAAAACUUUUACUCCCUUCCCCUCCCAACCCCCCAAUCUACCCAAAAUCCAUUUCCCACCAAAAUUUUACUCUCCCAUUUAUUUUUUCUCAAAAUUUUACUCCCCAGAACCCUCAAAACCUUUUAUUUUCUCCCAAAAUUUUUACUCCCUCCCACUUUUCCCCUAAAACUUUUAUUCCCUUCCCAUCCCACCUCCCAUCUACCUCAAACCUUCCCCCCUCCAAUUUUUUUUUAAAUAUUUUCCCUCCAAAAUUUUACUCUCCCUAUUUAUUUUCCCUCAAACUUUUAUUCUCCAAAACUUUUUAUUUUCCCCCUAAACUUUUACUUUUCACCCUUGACCCUCAAAUAAAAAAUUAAAAUUAUCCAAAAAAAAUUCACUAAACAUAAAUAGUAAUAAUUUUAUUUAUAUCUACUAUUUAUAUUAUUAAAUUAAAUUUCACAUUUUAUAUUAUUUAUAUUAUUUAUAUUAUUGAAUUGUUUAGUCAUAUUGAAUAUUUAUAUUAAAAUUGAAUUAUUAAUUAUGCCAUAAAAUAUUCAUGUUAAAAUUUUAUAUUGGUAUCAAUUUCACAUUUUAUUUUUAAAAUAACUUUUAUUAAAAAAAAUCAUAUUUUUACAUUUAAUAUAUUUUUUAAUUCCAAAAUACAUAGUGACAAGAAUCUGAAGAUAAUUGAAACAACUAAGCAAGCAAAGAAGCUAACCAAUAUAUAAAAAAUUAAUAAAUAAAUUAUGAGGUGAUGAAAGUUAAUAAAAAUUUUGAUGAAGGUGGACAAAUUUUAUUACGAUGGGUGACAAUGGUUACAAGGACCCAAAAUUAUUUUUUAAAAUUUAACUCGAACAAAUAUAUUCGAUUCGAUUCGAUUCGAUUCGAAUUCCAUCCCACUCGACUCGAUUCGAGAAAACUUCAAAUAAAGUAGGAUGAUAAAAUGAGGUUCGAAAACUCGAUUAACUCGAAAAUUUUCGAUUCGAUUCGAUCGAAUGCUCACCCCGAAUAGCUAACCUAAGGAAAAGAAAGGAGCCACAUAAACCCUAUUAUAUAUAUAGCCUCUCUGCAUCCAUCUCCAUCUCUUCUCCCAUGUAAUAUAAUUUGUAAGUUUCAAUAAUUUUCAAAUCCUAAAUUUCUUUCUCUUAUGAGUUUAAUUUAUUUUAUCAAGAAGAACAAUUACUAACACUUAUUCAAUUAAUUUAUUUUAUCAAGAUUUGAAGCUACUGACACAGGAGAAUUUCGAAAUAACAUGAUGUGGAUGAAUUAGAGAGUAAGUGGCAAUGUGGUCGACCAGAGCUUCUGGGUUUGGUGUUGUCUAAUCUGUAUGCGGGGUACGAAGCCAGAUUCUAUGCUGUUUGCAAAGCAUGGCUUCCAUCUCACCUUCACCUUCACCUUCACCUAAUUUCCACCAAUCUCCAUGGUUGAUGUAAUUUUCCCAGAAGCAGCGACAACCGAUGCAACUUGUUUCAUCCUACCGGCAAUGCCACUUGUCAUCUGGACGUUCCCAAUGAAGUACGUGCAUCCAAAAUCCGUUGUGCAAAAUAUGGCUGGUUGCUGCUAUCUAAACAAGCUGAUCACGACGGGUUUCAACUUACAUGUCUUCAAUCCUCUAACCAAAGGAUCAGCCUUCCUUCUUGUGGCUCCUAGGAACUAAUGUCAUUCACUGCUCUUCCUCAUUCAUCCAACUUUUUAGUGCUCGGAUUUGAUUUUUACUAUGGAUCAGGUCAUGUUGAAGUUUAUAAGCUUGGAGACAAGGACUGAAAGCAUCAUGAAUUUUUGGGGAUGGCGCCGUUCUGCGCAACAAAUUGCAGUCCCGUUUUAUACAAUGAAUUAUAUUAUUGCUCGAGUUUGCAGGGGAAUUUGCUAGUAUUCGAUGCUGAAGAUGUGGAGCAAAGCUUGACUGUUUAUAAGAAGGCCAUUCGAAUAAGGAUCCGUAACUCGAGUCAACAAGCCUUUUUGGUGGAAAAUGAAGGAGAAAUAGAAAAUCUGUUGAUGUUUUCAAGUGGGAUCAUACGGAGAAGAUGUUUAUAUCAAUCAAAACCUUGGGAAACAACAACAUGCUGCAUCUUUUUCUUCACGAAUUUCUUUAAGGGGAACUGCCAAUAAUAUUUAUUUCCCAAAUGAUGCAGACAUGAACCUUUUCUUCACGAAUUUUCAUGUCAGAAUCUAAUAUCAUCACAUUUGAUCUUGUUGCUUGACAUAUCUCCCUGGAUUCAAGCAUCUCUUUUGUACAGCCUGCAGGUAAACUUAGCUGGUUUCAAAAGUGCAUGAGAAAUAAUAGAUGUGAAAUUUCUAAAACCACAUCUGGAAUCUGAAUCUGCUGAUAAUAUUAUGUAUAUAAUAUAUAUAUUUAUCUUCUGGUCAGAAGGACUACAUAGAUCAUCUUUAAGAAUUCAAUAAACAUCAAUACCAUCUAAUCAUAGAUGACUCGGCUAUUUUAUUCCUGAGAGAAGACGACUAUACAUGCUAAUACAGAAUGGGGGUAAUCUCUUUAAGUGUAGUCUGAUCAGACUGUUUGCUUCCUCUGAAAUCCGGUACCAGGAUCAUCAUUGGAAGGGAAAACCUGAAGGCCGGUAACCAUGGCAGCUGGUGGGCCACGACGACACCUCUGCUCCAUCUCCUCAACAGAAUCCGGGGUUCCAGAGAAAAGAGCUUCCACUGAGCCAUCCCUCCUGUUCCUAACCCAGCCUUUCAAGCCAAGUUGAGUGGCAUUCUCUAUGGUCCAGUUCCUAUAGAACACACCCUGAACCCUACCCUUUAUGACAACCCUUACCUGCACCACCAAAUCUCCACAAUUCAUUGCAUUGCAACUCCUAUACUAUACAGAGAUAUUUAUAGCCAUGAAUUGCACAAUCAAUCCAACCAAGAGAGAUCAAUGACUUACAGGAAAUCUAACUUUCCAAGGGAAUAUCCAAAAAGGAAAAAAAAAAACCAUUAUCAAAAUAUAAUAAGUGACAUGAAACCCAAAAAAAUGAAUUAAUAAAACAAUUAGCACAAACUAAGAGGCAUUCAAUACCACAGAUAGACAAUCAUAUCCCAAAAAUGCACCAACAGAUCAAGAUAAGACCAUUAACUACGCAAAUUUGAGUUUCGAAGGGAACAACCAGAACCAUGCCGUCAAAUAUAUGCGAAAGGGAAUUAAACUCAGAACUCCGAUUAGUAUAUAUGGAAGUUAAACUUUUCAAGUAUCUAAAUUGCACAAACAAGUCUAGAGAUAACCAUUGAAGAACCAACCAAGAUGAACCCAUUAU